This 895-nucleotide ribosomal RNA is filed under the name uncultured bacterium. RNAcentral's name for it is "bacterial SSU rRNA". It matches the Rfam family "Bacterial small subunit ribosomal RNA", at positions 10 to 902 of the family's 1533-position model. The record is from RNAcentral.
AGUUUGAUCCUGGCUCAGAUUGAACGCUGGCGGCAGGCUUAACACAUGCAAGUCGAGCGGGGAAAGGUAGCUUGCUACCUUACCUAGCGGCGGACGGGUGAGUAAUGCUUAGGAAUCUGCCUAUUAGUGGGGACAACAUUUCGAAAGGAAUGCUAAUACCGCAUACGCCCUACGGGGGAAAGCAGGGGACCUUCGGGCCUUGCGCUAAUAGAUGAGCCUAAGUCGGAUUAGCUAGUUGGUGGGGUAAAGGCCUACCAAGGCGACGAUCUGUAGCGGGUCUGAGAGGAUGAUCCGCCACACUGGGACUGAGACACGGCCCAGACUCCUACGGGAGGCAGCAGUGGGGAAUAUUGGACAAUGGGGGGAACCCUGAUCCAGCCAUGCCGCGUGUGUGAAGAAGGCCUUUUGGUUGUAAAGCACUUUAAGCGAGGAGGAGGCUACUUAGAUUAAUACUCUAGGAUAGUGGACGUUACUCGCAGAAUAAGCACCGGCUAACUCUGUGCCAGCAGCCGCGGCAAUACAGAGGGUGCAAGCGUUAAUCGGAUUUACUGGGCGUAAAGCGUGCGUAGGUGGCCAAUUAAGUCAAAUGUGAAAUCCCCGAGCUUAACUUGGGAAUUGCAUUCGAUACUGGUUGGCUAGAGUAUGGGAGAGGAUGGUAGAAUUCCAGGUGUAGCGGUGAAAUGCGUAGAGAUCUGGAGGAAUACCGAUGGCGAAAGCAGCCAUCUGGCCUAAUACUGACACUGAGGUACGAAAGCACGGGGAGCAAACAGGAUUAGAUACCCUGGUAGUCCAUGCCGUAAACGAUGUCUACUAGCCGUUGGGGCCUUUGAGGCUUUAGUGGCGCAGCUAACGCGAUAAGUAGACCGCCUGGGGAGUACGGUCGCAGACUAAACUC